This 706-nucleotide long non-coding RNA is filed under the name Homo sapiens (human). RNAcentral describes it as "non-protein coding lnc-TUBGCP3-1:5". Lineage: Eukaryota; Metazoa; Chordata; Mammalia; Primates; Hominidae. The record is from RNAcentral.
GUUUCAGCCAGGGUCCCAGGGCUUCCUUCCCGGGUUCCUGCCGGAAAACUUUUCUCCUCCGCCCGGAAGCCUCGAUGGGGCACCUGUCCUGCUCUGGCCUGCCCUGUGCUCAGGAAGCUGGCGGUCCCCCUCAGUGGAUCUUCACCCACAGGGACAACCUGCUGCAGACCGGGUAGGAGGGAGGCAGGGGCCUCUUCCCCUCUCCUUCCUGGCCUGGCCCCACACCCACCAGUGUUGGUUUCACUCUGUGGCUACGAUUCUUCCUGGGUGCCCUUUCCAUUGCACAACUCCUCUAGGCUCUACGAACAGAACUUCUCCCCGCCCCCAAGCCUCUUAGGGUGAGACAUGUUGUCGGUCUGCCAUUGUUGCUGGUCCCUAAAUAGCAGCACCCUUUGAAGGAUCCUUGAACCAUGACCACACCGCAACAAAGAGUCCUUCAUCAAACUCGCUUCCAAAUCCCCUCCCAAGAACACCUUCAGUUUCCUGCAAGAACCCUGACUGCUGAAGCCGGAUUUUGACUAAGCUUCUACCUUGUAAACCGUGACUGUGGGAUUGGGGUCGAGGCGCAAUCAGAGGUUGUAUAAGGCACUAGAUCAAGGCUGCCUGUCUGUCAGGAGUGUCUGCUUUAUUCAGUAGUAAAUGUGAAUUGUUUUUCAUUCUGUUGUGAAUACUGUUGGUUGACAAUGCAGCAGCCAUGCCCUCUCUA